UACGUAGGGGGCAAGCGUUGUCCGGAAUCAUUGGGCGUAAAGAGCGUGUAGGCGGCUCGGUAAGUCCGCUGUAAAAGUCCAGGGCUCAACCCUGGAAAGCCGGUGGAAACUGUCGAGCUAGAGUCCGGAAGAGGCGAGUGGAAUUCCCAGUGUAGCGGUGAAAUGCGUAGAUAUUGGGAAGAACACCGGUGGCGUAGGCGACUCGCUGGGCUGUAACUGACGCUGAGGAACGAAAGCCAGGGGAGCGAAUGGG
RNAcentral lists this ribosomal RNA (253 nucleotides) under uncultured bacterium. RNAcentral's name for it is "partial 16S ribosomal RNA". It matches the Rfam family "Bacterial small subunit ribosomal RNA", at positions 524 to 776 of the family's 1533-position model. The record is from RNAcentral.